AUCUAUGGUCAAUCACUCUUUUCCAAAGCUUCAUGAUGUGAUCAUACACCUAAUACCACAUUGGUUUGCAAGACUUCGAAUCUCUCUUUUGUAUUUGUAUAUGUUCGAAACAAAGUACUUUUUUCACCUGUUUGACUCGUCUCAGAUGUUAGUAUAACAUUAAAUAGCCUCGUUUGCCAAGCUACUCGACAGGAUACCAUGUGGAAAACAUACUUUUCUAUCUCUCAUAUUUUUCAUGG
RNAcentral lists this unclassified non-coding RNA (239 nucleotides) under Hevea brasiliensis (rubber tree). Lineage: Eukaryota; Viridiplantae; Streptophyta; Magnoliopsida; Malpighiales; Euphorbiaceae. The record is from RNAcentral.